GACGAACGCUGGCGGCGUGCUUAACACAUGCGAGUCGAACGGAAAGGCCCUGCUUGCCGGGUACUCGAGUGGCGAACGGGUGAGUAACACGUGGGUGAUCUGCCCUGCACUUCGGGAUAAGCCUGGGAAACUGGGUCUAAUACCGGAUAGGAGCCAUUUUUAGUGUGAUGGUUGGAAAGUUUUUUCGGUGUUGGAUGAGCUAGCGGCCUAUCAGCUUGUUGGGGGGGUAAUGGCCUACCAAGGCGGCGACGGGUAGCCGGCCUGAGAGGGUGGACGGCCACAUUGGGACUGAGAUACGGCCCAGGCGCCUACGGGUGGCAGCUGUGGGGAAGAUUGCUCAAUGGGCGCAGGCCUGAUGCAGCGACGCCGCGUGGGGGAUGACGGUCUUGGGGUUGUAAACUCCUUUCGCUAGGGACGAAGCUUUUUGUGACGGUACCUAGAGAAGAAGCACCGGCUAACUACGUG
This 465-nucleotide ribosomal RNA is filed under the name uncultured bacterium. Its description in RNAcentral is "partial 16S ribosomal RNA". It matches the Rfam family "Bacterial small subunit ribosomal RNA", at positions 28 to 507 of the family's 1533-position model. The record is from RNAcentral.